RNAcentral lists this ribosomal RNA (460 nucleotides) under uncultured bacterium. Its description in RNAcentral is "partial 16S ribosomal RNA". It matches the Rfam family "Bacterial small subunit ribosomal RNA", at positions 338 to 795 of the family's 1533-position model. The record is from RNAcentral.
CCUACGGGAGGCUGCAGUGAGGAAUAUUGGUCAAUGGACGAGAGUCUGAACCAGCCAAGUAGCGUGAAGGAUGACUGCCCUAUGGGUUGUAAACUUCUUUUAUAUGGGAAUAAAAUGUUCCAUGUGUGGGAUUUUGUAUGUACCAUAUUAAUAAGCAUCGGCUAACUACGUGCCAGCAGCCGCGGUAAUACGGCGGAUCCGAGCGUUAUCAGGAUUUAGUGGGUUUAAAGGGAGCGUAGGUGGAUUGUUAAGUCAGUUGUGAAAGUUUGCGGCUCAACCGUAAAAUUGCAGUUGAAACUGGUAGUCUUGAGUACAGUAGAGGCAGGCGGAAUUCGUGGUGUAGCGGUGAAAUGCUUAGAUAUUACGAAGAACUCCGAUUGCGAAGGCAGUUCACUGGACAGCAACUGACACUGAGGCUCGAAAGUGUGGGUAGCAAACAGGAUUAGAUACCCUAGUAGUC